Long non-coding RNA from Oreochromis aureus, 779 nucleotides. RefSeq lists it as uncharacterized. NCBI's taxonomy places the organism in Eukaryota, Metazoa, Chordata, Actinopteri, Cichliformes, Cichlidae. The transcript has 3 exons. The record is from RefSeq and is a predicted model, not a curated record.
GAGGAGGACAGCACUACUGUGGUAGAGGAGCGGUGUGUGUGCAGACAUGGCUGCUGUUGGUGAAGCGGACUGAACUUAGAGGAGAGACACAAACUAAAGUAUCGAUCCCAUCACGUCAGUGUGGACCUGAUAUCAACGUCUGUAUCGCUUCUAUCGAUGCUUGUAUCAAUCCACCCAGCCUGAGUUGAAGCAGCAAUGAGUUCAGUUCAGUAUCUGAGAGAGUUCAUCAAGGAGAGACUAACUGCUGUUGGUGAAGAAAUCUUCUCAGAGGUUCAAAAAACCAUCGUAUGAGGAGGAGAUCUACCGUCAGCACAGACUGCUGGAUAUCAGCCGGAAACCCGACAGAAACUCACACAUCAUAGACCUCCCACAACAACAUGACUGUAAGGAAGAGGAGGGUCUGGAUGAGCAGCAGGUCUGUAACCAGGAGAGGAACUCCAGUCUGGACCAGGAGGACCCAGAGCCUCCACAGAUUAAAGAGGAACAGGAGGAGCUCUGCAGCAGUCAGGAGGGAGAGCAGCUUGGACUGAAGGAGGAGACUGAAGGCAUUAUCGUCUGGACUGAUGAAGAGCAGCUCAGAUUGAUGGAGACCAUCUGGAAACCUGUGAUAAAGUUACACAGAAUAGAUGUCCAACAGCAGCAUGCUUUUGAGGAAGAGGAGGUUUUUACCAACCAGGAGGUCUGUAACCAGGAGAGAAACUCCAGUCUGGACCAGGAGGACCCGGAGCCUCCACAGAUUAAAGAGGAACAGGAGGAACUCCGCAGCAAUCAGGAGGGAG